GAUGAACGCUGGCGGCGUGCCUAAUACAUGCAAGUCGAGCGAAAAGACGAGGAGCUUGCUCCUCUCACGUUAGCGGCGGACGGGUGAGUAACACGUGGAUCACCUCCUUAUAAGUCUGGUAUAAUCUCGGGAAACCGGAGCUAAUCCCGGAUAAGAUGUUGCACCGCAUGGGUCAAUGGUGAAAGUCGGUCUUGCUGUCACUUAUAGAUGGAUCUGCGCUGCAUUAGCUAGUUGGUAAGUUAACAGGUUACCAAGGCGACGAUGCGUAGCCGAACGGAGAGGGGGGUCGGCCACACGGGAACGGAGACACCGUCCAGACUCCUGCGAGACGCCGCAGUAGGGAAUCUUCCGCAAUGGGCGAAAAUCUGACGCAGCAGGGCCGCGUGAGUGAAGAAGGUCUUCGGAUCGGAAAACUCUGUUAUUGGGGAAGAACAAAUGUGUAAUUAACUAUGGACGUCUUGACGGUACCUGAUCAGAAAGCCACGGCUAACUACGUG
This 497-nucleotide ribosomal RNA is filed under the name uncultured bacterium. Its description in RNAcentral is "partial 16S ribosomal RNA". It matches the Rfam family "Bacterial small subunit ribosomal RNA", at positions 28 to 507 of the family's 1533-position model. The record is from RNAcentral.